Molecule: small nuclear RNA, 37 nt
Filed under: Cervus elaphus hippelaphus
Lineage: Eukaryota; Metazoa; Chordata; Mammalia; Artiodactyla; Cervidae
Source: RNAcentral
GUGCUCGCUUUGGCAGCACAUAUACUAAAAUUGGAAC